AACUCAUUUCUCUUACUAGGACAGCGACGAGAUUGCCGAAGUGGAAAAGUUGAGAGAAUGCCAACCGGAAAUAGUUUGGAAACUGUUAGUCUUUAAUGCAGGCCCUUGAAAUAGGGAAAUCACUGCGACAUCUCUUGAAGAGUUUUGUGGCUUUUCCUUUGAAAGGACGUGAAAUUUUUCUUUUUCUCGACUGAGCACAAAGAAUAGUCAAGACGAGUAAAUCCGAGUAUUUGACUGCAAUUCCUAGACCCUUCCAUUCGGAACCAAUAUUUCUGAGUUCAAUCAGAAAGUGAACCGAGUCCUACAAAACAUAACAUCAUUUCUGUCAUCUUUAUUGAGGUCAGGACACCGUGUGUUCGCUUUCAUGAUAUACAUAUUUUGUGAAACACAGUUUUCGUUGUCCAGCCACCACUUGACCUAAAAACUGUUUCUUAGUUGCAAUUCAAUUUAUUCAUUUUGAUCAGGUUCCCAUUUCUUUGUUAGGUGGUAUGGUAUCAAGUCUCAAGUCCAGUUCAAGGUAUUAAUUGCCAUGUACAAACAUGAAAUAUUGAAUCCUCGUUGACGCCGAAAUCUCCAAACAAUUAGGAAAAACUAUUUAGAGGAAAGUUAACUGACAAUCCAAAGCAACCAAAAGAAAAAAACUGUUCACCACAUUCAAAGGCUAAUCGAGUAAUCUGCAAUUAAAAAUUGUGCUCAUAAAUGUUGAUUGAGGUUAAAGGGGAUCCUGAGAUCAGCUUGGUACAGCAGUGUUUUGUCACAGCCUGAAAUAAACCGGGGAAAAUACUGCAACGGGACUUUACCAUCGCAAUGCUGAGCAAGCACACGAUUCAAAAUUAAACACAGCUCUCUACAUAAGGUCAGUGAAAUAAGUCUUUUUCAAUAACAAUUUACGUCAGUAUUUUCACUUUAUAUUACAUGGUAUUAUAAUGUUCAAGACAAUAAUCCUAUCAGGAAGUAAAUUGAAAUAAACUUGGACCUUUUUACAUCCAAAAUCAAUGUUUGAGGGCCGACAACAUUUUUGAUGAGGCUGCAGUUUUCCCUUUGUUUGCCUGAAUACCAAAGGUUUUCUUGACAAGAAACACAAACAACAUGUUCAAAGAUCACGUCAAAAAUAAAGAGUAGGUGCCGUGAAUUUUACGAUGAAAACAACAGAAAAAUAAACGAAGCAAUAAUAUUAACCGCGUAAUCCCUUUUGACACCACAUGAUCAUGAGGUGGCAUGAAAAGAAUGUCGGCUUUGAGUACUGCCGUGCAAUUCAUGCGCUUCAUUUCAAGACCAGUCAGAUCAAACGGUAAAAGCUCUUUUAUUUCAAUCAAUUGUUAUUUUCAACCCCGGCCCCGCGUUUUCCACCUAGCCUUUCUUUGGUAUGUAGCUUUCUUGCGCCAAUUUUUGCUAUGUUGUAUAGCGAUGACACAACAUUUAACACAGUCACUCCCAAGAAGCCUUAUCAAUAAGCGGAAACUACCAUAACCAAGGUGUUGAGCGAAACGGAAACAACGCAGGUAUUCUAGUCACGUCUUUCACCGCAAAGCCGGAAAUACGCCAAGACCUUGAGAGACUAUUUUAUUACGUUCGUUUGUGAGGCAAAUAAAUUAUGUCAUAUCAAAGUGUUUGUCCUUUUUUUUUCGAGGAACGAAUCAGUGCCUGGGAAAAAGAUUUCUGGUCAACUUUGCUUUGCGAAUUAGUACCACUGCACAUACGGUCCCUGAUAUCAGUUUUUGUUCAAAGAGAAGAGAUUUUGAAUGUUUAAAGUUUUUUAUCUUCUAAAAUCCCACGGCCGCCUCUUCGAUUCUUAGAGGAUGUGACAAACAAGUGGAUGUCACCGCUGAACUUGGCAUCAUCUUGUUUCUCUUGUUUGUCUCAGGCCGUACGUAUACAUGUGACGGAAAUGAAAUGACUGAAUCGUCGAUGGAAGAAUUUUAUUCAAGUUGGAUCUUGGAGCUUUAAAAGUAUGGAACUGUAAUAGCUUUUCUAGCAAAACCUAUAAUUGUUGUUAUCAAAACCAUUCGGAACUCCUAUCACCAAUACAAUGGAGAAACCCCCAGUAAGGGCGGGACCCAAAGGAACAAAUAAAUAAAAUUGUUUUCCUCUUC
RNAcentral lists this long non-coding RNA (2093 nucleotides) under Orbicella faveolata. RNAcentral describes it as "uncharacterized LOC110047216". Lineage: Eukaryota; Metazoa; Cnidaria; Anthozoa; Scleractinia; Merulinidae. The record is from RNAcentral.